This 250-nucleotide unclassified non-coding RNA is filed under the name Bombus terrestris (buff-tailed bumblebee). RNAcentral's name for it is "misc RNA ENSBTSG00005029646.1". Lineage: Eukaryota; Metazoa; Arthropoda; Insecta; Hymenoptera; Apidae. The record is from RNAcentral.
GGAAAUUCGUGCUACGAACGAGAGGACAGGAUACGAACGAUUCGAGAUAGAAGAAGGACGUCAGCCUGUAAACCGAGAAUUCAAGCCAAAAUUACGGUGCAGCGACGUGCAAAGCGGAACGUCGAUGCGAUUAGAGGGUCGAAUCGCGCAAAGGCCGUGACCCAUCGUGUCCAUCAUCAACGAUUUAAUGAAGCCUGUAUUCGUCCUGGCAAGUUGCAUCACCGAGCGACCAAUUCAACGAAAGCCACAG